Non-coding RNA from Onchocerca ochengi, 503 nucleotides. The record is from Rfam. Lineage: Eukaryota; Metazoa; Nematoda; Chromadorea; Rhabditida; Onchocercidae.
GGGAAUUUUCCACGGGAUCACUCGCUAAAGACCCGAUUUAUUCGAUUCUUGAGAGUAGAAGUUCGAAGCGAUUCUGACAUGCAAGUCGAUCGUCUGAUUUUGGUAUAAGGGCGAAAGACUAUCGAACUAUCUAGAGCUGGUUCCUUCCGAAGUUUCUCUGAGGAUAGCUGAAAGUACGUAAUGAAGCUGUUAUAUUCGAUAAAGCGCUUGAUUAGAAGAAUUGUGGAACAAAACGUCUUCAAUCUAUUUCCAAAUUCUCAAUGAGUACGAUGUUUUGCUUGCUUGAAUGACACGUUGACAUUGAAUGUGUGCUCCAAAUGGGUCAGUUUCUGGUAAACAGAACUGGUACACUGUGGGAUGAGCCAAACGUUAAGAUAUACUAUAAGUUUUCCGCUCAAGUACCAUCCAUUUUCAGGCCUAAUUGGUCUAUUCGUCGCAUUGUCUAAUUCUCAUAACAAACCUACUGAUAUUAAAUUUUUUGUUAAUCAGUAAAAUUUUUAUCC